CCUAAUUAGCUUGUUAAAUAUUCCACUCUUGUCAUCUUCCUUCUACCAGUUUGGUUGGAGCCACCAUCCUUUCUCGCUUAUACUACCACAAUGCCGCCUAAGUCAUUUCUCUCUUCCUCUCUCUCUCUUACUGACCACCUCCCCCUACCCAACUCAUUGUCCAUACUGCUGCCAGAAUGCUCUUCCCCAACACAAAACUGAUUGUGACGCUGCCCUGCUUACAAACUUCAGUGGCUCCCUAUUCUCCUAAGGACCAAUUACAGCUUUACAGCUUGAAGUUCUAGCCCCUGCUACCAUUCUAGUCUCAUCUCUCUCAUCCCCUUGCCUCUGUGGGUCAUGUCCUUUCUUUCAAUUCCUCAACAGGUCUCUGCCGUAUUGAAGUUAAUAUCACCUGCAAUUGAAACCCUCUUCCCUCCACCACCUGCGCCUUGACAACCCCUACUCAGCUUUUCGGUUUCAAUUUAAACAUUACUGCCUCUAGAAAGUCUACCCUGGUUCCAUGAAAUCUGGAUUAAAUGCUCUUUCUUAGGUGGUUCCACAGGGACACAAGCUUCCCCUAAUAUAGCAAGUAUAACAGUGAAUUAAAUCACCUACUUGUUCACCUAGCACCUUUGCUGUAUUGCUGUAUCUAUUGCUAUAUCUCAGAACUCCAGGAGAGCAGGUCUGAGUUCUGAAGAGCAC
This is a non-coding RNA of Vicugna pacos (alpaca), 681 nucleotides long. The record is from RefSeq and is a predicted model, not a curated record. NCBI's taxonomy places the organism in Eukaryota, Metazoa, Chordata, Mammalia, Artiodactyla, Camelidae.